Non-coding RNA from Potamilus streckersoni, 73 nucleotides. The record is from the annotation of a GenBank genome assembly. Lineage: Eukaryota; Metazoa; Mollusca; Bivalvia; Unionida; Unionidae.
GGUCCGGUAGCCUAGUCGUUAAUUCGUCCGCCUCGGAUGCGGGAGGUCGUGAGUUCGAACCCCUGCCGAGUCA